AUUGAACGCUGGCGGCAGGCCUAACACAUGCAAGUCGAACGAGUGGCGGACGGGUGAAUAAUGUCUGGGAAACUGCCUGAUGGAGGGGGAUAAAUUCUGGAAACGGUAGCUAAUACCACAUACUCUCGGAUGUGCCCAUAGGGGAUUAGCUAGUAGGUGGGGUAAAGGCUCACCUAGGCGACGCUCCCUAGCUGGUCUGAGAGGAUGACCAGCCACACUGGAACUGAGACACGGUCCAGACUCCUACGGGAGGCAGCAGUGGGGAAUAUUGCACAAUGGGCGCAAGCCUGAUGCAGCCAUGCCGCGUGUAUGAAGAAGGCCUUAGGGUUGUAAAGUACUUUCAGCGGGGAGGCGUUACCCGCAGAAGAAGCACCGGCUAACUCCGUGCCAGCAGCCGCGGUAAUAC
RNAcentral lists this ribosomal RNA (406 nucleotides) under uncultured bacterium. RNAcentral describes it as "partial 16S ribosomal RNA". It matches the Rfam family "Bacterial small subunit ribosomal RNA", at positions 30 to 526 of the family's 1533-position model. The record is from RNAcentral.